Argentina anserina (silverweed cinquefoil) is the source of this 915-nucleotide long non-coding RNA. RefSeq lists it as uncharacterized. The record is from RefSeq and is a predicted model, not a curated record. NCBI's taxonomy places the organism in Eukaryota, Viridiplantae, Streptophyta, Magnoliopsida, Rosales, Rosaceae. The transcript is spliced from 4 exons.
UUCUCUGCUUCUGUAAGAAGCCGAGGUUCUCAUUCAUCAACGAUUCUCGAAUUUGGUUUAGGGUUCACAAUUUGGAGAUUUUUGGGGUUCGUGAUUUGGAUUAUGAAUGUUCUUUUUCGUAAAUCAUUGCUAGAUGCUAAGGUUUUUGUUCUUUGUUUGUUUUCAGGUAGGGUUUACAAUUUUGGGGUUUUUGUGGUAAGAGUCAGGAUAUUUCUAAUUCGAUGCUAGCUGAAUAUCGACCUUUGUUUUGGGAUUUAGGUUUACGAUUUGGGAUUUUUACUAAUUGGGUUAUAGAUAUGGUGUUGAAAGUUGGGUUCAGUCAUCAUAAAGCAGAGGGACAAGAUGCAGGAUGAGCGGAAAGGGGAGUGUUUUAUCGAGAGACGGGGUUGAUCCUGAAUCACCUAUCAGUGGAUGUGUCUUAAUAACAUUGAUAAAGAGCAUAACGAUUGAGAUUUAUUGAAGAUAUGGAAGAAGCAGGUGUUAUUGUGCAGCUUCUCAAUUACAGUUCGAUAAUUCUUUGAUCACAAUGUCUCAUUUCAUAUAUCCUUUUCUUUUAUAUAUUUCAAAUUUUGAUGUAUAUAUUACAUAAACAUGUUAGUUGGCCGAAACUCUUUUCUGUGAUUCCUAUUGCAUGAGAUGAUAUCUUAACUAUUCAAGAUAGUGUACCUAUAUAUGCAUGCUUGGAGUUCAUUGCUUCACAUGUAUCUUGUUCAACUUAGUUGAUAGGGCCUACUUGCCUCCCUCCAUUUACUUCCUGGUUCUUUACCGUGCUGCUAAUUUCCAACGAGCUUCAGAGGCAGCUGCUGCUCAUCGAUCUCCACCACUUUUCCGUGAUCUGGUUUAUUGUCUAAAGCAACAUGUGCUGAUCUUUUUUCUCUCUUUUAUUUUAUUUCUCUCAACUUACAUAUACAUGAA